UGUUUCGGCUAGGGGGCCAUCCCGGCUUACCAACCCGAUGCAAACUGCGAAUACCGGAGAAUGUUAUCACGGGAGACACACGGCGGGUGCUAACGUCCGUCGUGAAGAGGGAAACAACCCAGACCGCCAGCUAAGGUCCCAAAGUCAUGGUUAAGUGGGAAACGAUGUGGGAAGGCCCAGACAGCCAGGAUGUUGGCUUAGAAGCAGCCAUCAUUUAAAGAAAGCGUAAUAGCUCACUGGUCGAGUCGGCCUGCGCGGAAGAUGUAACGGGGCUAAACCAUGCACCGAAGCUGCGGCAGCGACACUUUAGUGUUGUUGGGUAGGGGAGCGUUCUGUAAGCCGUUGAAGGUGUCCUGUGAGGGGUGCUGGAGGUAUCAGAAGUGCGAAUGCUGACAUAAGUAACGAUAAAGCGGGUGAAAAGCCCGCUCGCCGGAAGACCAAGGGUUCCUGUCCAACGUUAAUCGGGGCAGGGUGAGUCGACCCCUAAGGCGAGGCCGAAAGGCGUAGUCGAUGGGAAACGGGUUAAUAUUCCCGUACUUGGUGUUACUGCGAAGGGGGGACGGAGAAGGCUAUGUUGGCCGGGCGACGGUUGUCCCGGUUUAAGCGUGUAGGUGUGUGUUCCAGGUAAAUCCGGUUCACUUUAACACUGAGGCGUGAUGACGAGGCACCACGGUGCUGAAGCAACAAAUGCCCUGCUUCCAGGAAAAGCCUCUAAGCAUCAGGUAACAUCAAAUCGUACCCCAAACCGACACAGGUGGUCAGGUAGAGAAUACCAAGGCGCUUGAGAGAACUCGGGUGAAGGAACUAGGCAAAAUGGUGCCGUAACUUCGGGAGAAGGCACGCUGACACGUAGGUGAAGUGAUUUACUCAUGGAGCUGAAGUCAGUCGAAGAUACCAGCUGGCUGCAACUGUUUAUUAAAAACACAGCACUGUGCAAACACGAAAGUGGACGUAUACGGUGUGACGCCUGCCCGGUGCCGGAAGGUUAAUUGAUGGGGUCAGCGCAAGCGAAGCUCCUGAUCGAAGCCCCGGUAAACGGCGGCCGUAACUAUAACGGUCCUAAGGUAGCGAAAUUCCUUGUCGGGUAAGUUCCGACCUGCACGAAUGGCGUAAUGAUGGCCAGGCUGUCUCCACCCGAGACUCAGUGAAAUUGAACUCGCUGUGAAGAUGCAGUGUACCCGCGGCAAGACGGAAAGACCCCGUGAACCUUUACUAUAGCUUGACACUGAACAUUGAGCCUUGAUGUGUAGGAUAGGUGGGAGGCUUUGAAGCGUGGACGCCAGUCUGCGUGGAGCCGACCUUGAAAUACCACCCUUUAAUGUUUGAUGUUCUAACGUGGACCCGUAAUCCGGGUUGCGGACAGUGUCUGGUGGGUAGUUUGACUGGGGCGGUCUCCUCCUAAAGAGUAACGGAGGAGCACGAAGGUUGGCUAAUCCUGGUCGGACAUCAGGAGGUUAGUGCAAUGGCAUAAGCCAGCUUGACUGCGAGCGUGACGGCGCGAGCAGGUGCGAAAGCAGGUCAUAGUGAUCCGGUGGUUCUGAAUGGAAGGGCCAUCGCUCAACGGAUAAAAGGUACUCCGGGGAUAACAGGCUGAUACCGCCCAAGAGUUCAUAUCGACGGCGGUGUUUGGCACCUCGAUGUCGGCUCAUCACAUCCUGGGGCUGAAGUAGGUCCCAAGGGUAUGGCUGUUCGCCAUUUAAAGUGGUACGCGAGCUGGGUUUAGAACGUCGUG
Molecule: ribosomal RNA, 1732 nt
Filed under: Salmonella enterica
Lineage: Bacteria; Pseudomonadati; Pseudomonadota; Gammaproteobacteria; Enterobacterales; Enterobacteriaceae
Also listed under: 1 other name
Description: partial 23S ribosomal RNA
Rfam family: Bacterial large subunit ribosomal RNA
Source: RNAcentral